GGAAGUGCCAGCCCCAGAGGGACCCACUGUAGGUUGAGGGGCAUUAGGAUAGGUGCCAGGAGCAGGCCCAGGGGAGGCAGGGAAGGAGGGCAGAGCAGGAGGGGAGCUGCUGUGGGGGUGAGGUGAUCCCGCUGCCUUACCAGGGCCUCCUGAACCCCCCCCCCCCAGAAACAACCCUGCCGACCUGCGGCCUACUCACCCGACCGGAGGAGUGGGUUAGCAACCCACGG
Non-coding RNA from Pelobates cultripes (western spadefoot toad), 230 nucleotides. Lineage: Eukaryota; Metazoa; Chordata; Amphibia; Anura; Pelobatidae. The record is from the annotation of a GenBank genome assembly.